This 321-nucleotide unclassified non-coding RNA is filed under the name Hevea brasiliensis (rubber tree). The record is from RNAcentral. Lineage: Eukaryota; Viridiplantae; Streptophyta; Magnoliopsida; Malpighiales; Euphorbiaceae.
GCCUGUCCUUCUCAAUUUUGGAUUUCAACUCAUCAAUCAUUGUCCUGAUCUCAGACGCCACACUAGAUAUCGUCUCCUCGUUCUUCUUUUGACCAUCCUUUUCCGCUUUCUCUCUGAUCUGUUGCAGCGCCGACAUUAUCCCCUUGAUAUCACUGGAGAGAUCGACAUCGAAGUCGUCAUCGACUCGGAAUUUGGAGUCAGAUUUGGUGAGUACUGACUCGGCGGCUCGUUUCUUGGAGCUUGUUUUCGAAGUAGACAUUGUUAGUGUGACUAUUGCAGGAAUUGAAAUGAGAUUGAAAGAUUGAUUUUCUGUCAGUUUUG